Molecule: unclassified non-coding RNA, 271 nt
Filed under: Hypocreales sp.
Lineage: Eukaryota; Fungi; Ascomycota; Sordariomycetes; Hypocreales
Description: partial contains 5.8S ribosomal RNA, internal transcribed spacer 2, and large subunit ribosomal RNA
Source: RNAcentral
CGCACAUUGCGCCCGCCAGUAUUCUGGCGGGCAUGCCUGUCCGAGCGUCAUUUCAACCCUCGGGACCCCGUUUGCUCGGGGCCCCGGUGUUGGGGCUCAGGUGCCCGGUCAACGGGCUGCCUGUCCCCUAAAUGCAGUGGCGGCCUCGCCGCUGCCUCCUCCGCGUAGUAGCACAAACCUCGCGGUUGGAAGGCGGCGCGGCCACGCCGUAAAACCCCCCAAUUUUACCAAGGUUGACCUCGGAUCAGGUAGGAAUACCCGCUGAACUUAA